Passer domesticus (house sparrow) is the source of this 262-nucleotide long non-coding RNA. RefSeq lists it as uncharacterized. NCBI's taxonomy places the organism in Eukaryota, Metazoa, Chordata, Aves, Passeriformes, Passeridae. The transcript has 3 exons. The record is from RefSeq and is a predicted model, not a curated record.
AAGAUAUCCCUGGAACCAUCCAAACAGAUGAGGCAAGAGCUGAAGGAACCCCUGCCGACAAGAGAAGAGAUGGACAUAGUGCUUCAGUGGAAGGUGGUAUUUCUUGAAGGAAGCACUCCAUCUUCGGUGCCAGCCCCUGCUGCAGGAAGGAAGGCAAAGCCAGACACGGGCACAGGCACAGCAGACUGGGAUGCUGGGAAGGAUUCUCCAUUAGCCUGGCGCUCUGAAGUUGUGAAGCCCUCUGAGCAUUCUGCAGGUAUGU